Molecule: ribosomal RNA, 125 nt
Filed under: Gymnopus androsaceus
Lineage: Eukaryota; Fungi; Basidiomycota; Agaricomycetes; Agaricales; Omphalotaceae
Description: partial 28S ribosomal RNA
Rfam family: Eukaryotic large subunit ribosomal RNA
Source: RNAcentral
UUGACCUCAAAUCAGGUAGGACUACCCGCUGAACUUAAGCAUAUCAAUAAGCGGAGGAAAAGAAACUAACAAGGAUUCCCCUAGUAACUGCGAGUGAAGAGGGAAAAGCUCAAUUUAAAAUCUGG